UACGUAGGGUGCGAGCGUUAAUCGGAAUUACUGGGCGUAAAGCGUGCGCAGGCGGUUUUGCAAGCCGGAUGUGAAAUCCCCGGGCUUAACCUGGGAAUGGCAUUUGGGACUGCAAGGCUGGAGUGCGGCAGAGGAGACUGGAAUUCCUGGUGUAGCAGUGAAAUGCGUAGAUAUCGGGAGGAACACCAGUGGCGAAGGCGACUACCUGGCCUGUUCUUGACGCUGAGGCGCGAAAGCUAGGGGAGCAAACGGG
Molecule: ribosomal RNA, 253 nt
Filed under: uncultured bacterium
Lineage: Bacteria
Description: partial 16S ribosomal RNA
Rfam family: Bacterial small subunit ribosomal RNA
Source: RNAcentral